Long non-coding RNA from Prinia subflava (tawny-flanked prinia), 2125 nucleotides. RefSeq lists it as uncharacterized. Lineage: Eukaryota; Metazoa; Chordata; Aves; Passeriformes; Cisticolidae. The transcript has 3 exons. The record is from RefSeq and is a predicted model, not a curated record.
GCCAGCUGGCCUCAGGCCCAGCAAACAGGCCCUGGCACUGCUUAAUGGACUGGAAUAGACACCUCCAGGGUGUCCAAGGCCACGGGAACAGAGCCAGGAAUAGGCUGUGUGACUUCUUUCUCUAGGACUGGUGGGCUCAGGGAAACAGUGGUGGGGGAACAGAGCUCAGGGUGUUGGUUUGUGUUUGUAGUUUGAUAUCUGUAGUUUUCCACAGGCUGCAAAUAUAAUGUGGAGAGAAGGGCAAACUGAUAAAAAGGGAUGCUUUGAAAAUAAUGGGGUUUAUAUUUGUGUUCCCUUCUUCCAAGGUCUGAAGAACAGAGAUGCAUGAGAUGGGUGCAUAAAGGGGACAUAAUUUCCAAUCCUGACGAGCUCCUGCAAUGAACACUGAGGCAGAGUAAAAUCUCUGGGGAGGAAGGUGGGAAUCUUGUGAGGGUGGGGAGGCCCUGGCACAGGGUGCCCAGAGAAGCUGUGGCUGUCCCUGGAUCCCUGGAAGUGUCCAAGGUCAGGUUGGAUGGGCUUGGAGCAAACUGGGAUAGUGGAAGGUGUCCCUGUCCAUGGCAGGGUUGUUUUUGUUUUGUUUUGGUUGUGGUUUUUUGUUGGUUGUUUUGGGGUUUUUUGUGGUGGUUUUUGUUUGUUUGUUUGUGGUUUUUGGGUUUUUUUUGGGGGGUGUUGUUGUUGUGUUGGGGUUUUUUUUGGGGUUUUUUUUUGUUGCUUUGGUUGUGGGUGGUGGGGUUUUUGUUUGUUUUUUGUUUGUUUGUUUUGUUUGUUUGUUUUUGGUUUUGGUUUUGGUUUCUUUUUUCUGUGAAAAGGUUUUUAAGGUCUUUUCCAACCCAACCACUCUGUGACUCUGUGACUUCUUGAGGAGGACACACAGGAAUUUUUGGGUGGGUGAGCACAAAGCCACACAGCAAAGGCACCAGGAGCUAGAGCUCAUCCCACCAUCUCCUUGUGUCCUUCUGCAGGGAACAACAACAUGGGAAUAGAGAUCACAGGAGCUGAGAGCCCAGGCCAGUGUAUUACUGGCUCCUACAUGUCCUCCUGGAGUUCCCAACCAAACAUCUCCUCCCACAGAAGCUGCUCCAGGCACCAUGGAUGGUGAGGAAUGCCACAGGAACAGCCCGGGAUGCUGGGGCGGCCAGCAAGAAGGCAACUUUGGGUGAUGUCAAACCAAGAGAAGACUCAGAUCCCUUCCCUACGAUCACUGCUCCAGGCAGGAACCAGGAAAAUCCCGGCAGCACGGCUGGAAAGGCGGCUUGUAGCAGCUCUCUGCGGCUUGAGAGCUUGAGGCUCAAGGUGAAACGCGUGCCUCGUGGUCGGAGGCCGGGAGAAGAUUUGGGGAAGGCUGCCAUCUCUUGGAUAACUGCAAAACAGCGGCACCGGCCUGGGAAAUGCUGCUCACGCCCCCGAGGGAUGCCAGCUCCAGCCUUGCUCUCGGAGAAGCGCAGGCUGAAGUUAUUCCCGCUCUGCUCGUGCCCCCCGCAGGCCGAGCCGCGUCUUUAUUUAGGGCAAACUGGGAUCAGAGCUGGGAAUGAGCUGAUUUUCCGUCUGUCUCACCGUGCCUUUCGGCAGUGGCUGCCUCUGUGCACAUCUGGAGUUUUACUUGAACCACCUUCCACCCUCGGUCCUGCAGGUCACACACGGCUGGGAGAGGUGCCACUCGACUUGGGACAGCCUUUUUUGGGUCUCCCUGCCCAUCCCAGCUGUGCUCAGGCAUGGGAGGAUGAUCAAGCCCACAAACACCGGGAAUAUUUGCUCCAAACAAAAUAACAGAAAAGACCCAAGCACUUGGAACAAGGCAAGGAAUUCCAGUAACGCCCUGUGCCCUAAAAUCAACAGGAUUCAUGCAGGGCUUAUGCUCUUAGAGGAGGUGAAGCUAAGCUGGGGCUCCUAAGCCAUCACUCCUUGGAUAUUAGAGAAGGAAAGAGCGUGGGGGAGGUGGCUGGGAUGGAGAAAUAGGGAAUGGCUUAGCAAUGCCAGCUUUUAGAGUGUCAUGGAGGCUGGUGACUGUGAUUCCCCUGGGGAAAGAGUGGUCUGGUAGGAGGGAAGGACUCGUGGGCUUCACGGAGAGCUGAAAAAGAGGCAAAGUGAUGUUAUUGCCCUCAAAACUGUUCUGCUUUUCAGCUGG